UUUCAGUAACUUUGAUCCAAACUCUAUAUUUUAUACUUAAUAUAAAUAAAUAAUAUAUUCAAAAUUCAGUAAAUAACCUUAGAAUUUUAAAUAAUAAACUCAAAAUUUUAGCUUUGUCAAGAUUUGUGUAAGGUUAUUCACUCAUAUUCUAGUCACAUGAGUAGGUUUGACAAGCAAAAGGCUCUAACCAAGAUGUUAACAAACAUCACAUGAUAAAGAAUGAGAAGACAAAAGGCCAACUCAUAAGCUUCCAAAUUUAAACGAGCAUAACCCGGAGAAGAGCUUCUUUUCUACCGAACAUGGCAGUUGGUGGGGUGGGGUAGUCUUCUCAUGCUCGGAAUUGAACAUCUGGUGUGUGGAUAAUUUAAUCUGAAGGUUCACCAAUGGAAAGUUUGAACUAAGCAUCAGAUGGAAUGACGAUAAGCUGAUGCAGGAGACUCCAAAUUGUCCCUAGAUGAUCAGGUUAUUUACAAGGAGCAAAUGUCAUGAAGCAUUCAAAUAUUAUCUUGACAAACUCUGCAUAUUCAAAGACUUACAUAACUCCUUCAAGUCGAAAAGAAAAAGUAGUUAUCUAACUCGAUUAUGGAAGUCAAUCGAACAAAAUAUUUACCCUAGGAAUUCCAGGUCAUCUCCUCUCCGCUGAGACAAGUAGUGUUUCCCACAUAUGAGAUGAUACGAUACAAUGUAACCCAAGGAAAGGCUAUCUGUAACUUCCGCCUCAAAUGCACCACGACAACAUAGAUCUUGAUGCCACU
Molecule: non-coding RNA, 755 nt
Organism: Solanum lycopersicum (tomato)
Lineage: Eukaryota; Viridiplantae; Streptophyta; Magnoliopsida; Solanales; Solanaceae
Source: RefSeq, a predicted model, not a curated record